Long non-coding RNA from Leucoraja erinaceus (little skate), 465 nucleotides. RefSeq lists it as uncharacterized. The transcript is spliced from 2 exons. The record is from RefSeq and is a predicted model, not a curated record. NCBI's taxonomy places the organism in Eukaryota, Metazoa, Chordata, Chondrichthyes, Rajiformes, Rajidae.
CGCCGCGCUCCCGUGCGCUGCCGCGUGAGGGCCGCGUGAGUGACAGGCGGUGGCCAUGGCGACGCCGGGGCCGGCAGCCGCGAGCGCCAGGUGACAGGCGUGCGCUGCAACGUGAGACUCUGCAUGACAGCCGCGGUCUCCGGUAGGAAGUGGCCGAUUCGGAACUCCAAGCCGCUGAGAGUGUUCCUCCGUUCCGACGCCGGAGCUCCGAUCAUGCCGUUGAGGGAGCCUGAAUAUCGGGCCGUCCAUAGCGGCGACUGCGGAGGGCUCGGGAGGCCCCGAACACAGUUGAACAAGAGGAAGAUGACUGAACUUUAUUGCCUUCCCUCACAGUGGGAAACAUUGAUUCUGCUGUGGGGGAUGUUUAUGCUAAAUUCUAUAGUGUUGUGUUCAUUUUAUUUUAUUUAUGUGGCUGUAUGGUAACUCAAAUUGGUGAAUAUGACAAUAAAUGGAACUUGUAACUUG